Non-coding RNA from Pelodiscus sinensis (Chinese soft-shelled turtle), 386 nucleotides. NCBI's taxonomy places the organism in Eukaryota, Metazoa, Chordata, Testudines, Trionychidae. The record is from RefSeq and is a predicted model, not a curated record.
GCAUAGAAAACUUCAGCCCAAAAAAUUAAAGUCUGGCAAAGUUAUGAGCAACUGAAACAGGAUCUUAUGAUGGGAAGUGACAAGCAACCUCAAUAGUAGAUGUGAAGCUAAAAAUCUUGUACCAGUGGACUUUUUCCAGAUAUUCUUGCUCUGGCUAGAUUUCAGCUCCUUUGCUGACCCUAGAAGAUGCAAAAUGUUCUCUUUCCAAUCAAAAGAUGAAAUUUUCUGAGGAAAGCAGACAGUUCCACACAACAUUUUCAAUUGUUCCACACAACAGCUUUUUAUUUGUAAAAGAGAAGUGUUGAUCAGCCCUACCUGGAAGGCAUUGUUUCCAGCAAUGUGUCAUGUUAUGAGGCAGGCAGAAGCCAGGAAAAUAGGGAAGUCCA